GCUCCUCCUCCGUUGCUCAGUGGCGGAAUGUUUCGAUCGUGGCGUGUUUGCUUUAUGGUCGGUGCUCUUUCCAUCCACUUUUACCCUUAAUUCCCCUUUAUGGAUAGGUGAAGGGCUUUCUUUCUUAAGAACGAACUCCUCCUCGUCAUCUAAAUUAUCAUCCUGGGCACUAUCUUUGGCUGAUUUUAUCAUUUCUAUAAAG
This 202-nucleotide unclassified non-coding RNA is filed under the name Hevea brasiliensis (rubber tree). The record is from RNAcentral. Lineage: Eukaryota; Viridiplantae; Streptophyta; Magnoliopsida; Malpighiales; Euphorbiaceae.